This 253-nucleotide ribosomal RNA is filed under the name uncultured bacterium. RNAcentral's name for it is "partial 16S ribosomal RNA". It matches the Rfam family "Bacterial small subunit ribosomal RNA", at positions 524 to 776 of the family's 1533-position model. The record is from RNAcentral.
AACGUAGGAGACGAGCGUUAUCCGGAGUUACUGGGCGUAAAGCGCGCGCAGGCGGUGGAACAAGUGUGGCGUGAAAGCUCCCGGCUAAACUGGGAGAGGACGAAACAGACUGUUUGACUGGAGGGCGAUAGAGGGAUGCGGAAUUCGGGGUGUAGCGGUGAAAUGUGUAGAGAUCCCGAGGAACACCAGUGGUGAAAACGGCAUCCUGGGUCGUUACUGACGCUGAGGCGCGAAAGCUUGGGGAGCGAACGGG